Molecule: ribosomal RNA, 253 nt
Filed under: uncultured bacterium
Lineage: Bacteria
Description: partial 16S ribosomal RNA
Rfam family: Bacterial small subunit ribosomal RNA
Source: RNAcentral
UACAGAGGGUGCGAGCGUUAAUCGGAAUUAUUGGGCGUAAAGAGCUCGUAGGCGGCUUGUUGCGUCGACUGUGAAAACCCGCGGCUUAACCGCGGGCUUGCAGUUGAUACGGGCAGGCUAGAGUUCGGUAGGGGAGACUGGAAUUCCUGGUGUAGCGGUGAAAUGCGCAGAUAUCAGGAGGAACACCGGUGGCGAAGGCGGGUCUCUGGGCCGAUACUGACGCUGAGACGCGAAAGCGUGGGGAGCAAACAGG